CGAAUUGCCGGUGCCGGAGGCGAGAGCGUGAAACAGCAGCAGGGUCCACGUGGAAGUAUGUUUUUUGUUUUGUUUUUUAUAGCAGUGUGUAAUAUAUAGUUCCAUAACACUCACUCUAUCAUUAUUAUUAUUAGUUAUGGUAUAUUCAUGUAGAACAAAGAUUAAAUUUGUGUUUUUCCAAUGUGUAACAGAUUUGCCUGAUAUUCGGCUCAACAUUCAAAGACCGAUUCUAGCAGACCAGACUAAUGUGCUGACAAGCGGUAGUUUUGUACCUAUCGAGGCCAAUGUCAUUCAGCGAACCCCCGGACCAAAUCGACUGUCCAAGAAGAAUUUGAAAAGAUCGGCGGGGGUAGUGGUGGCUAUACCCUGUUCACCACUGGCCAUAGAACAGCUACAAAUUCCUUAUAAAAAGGCUCGCAAGGAUGCCACACAUAAUGGUUUAACUCCGGAGAAUAUUACCCAGGUUAUACAGGCAGUCAUAAAUCCGCAAAUUGCGCCACAUGGAGCGGCAUGGACUGAUCCCAAACACCGGGUGAUCGGGGACGUGGAGGUGUAUGUGCAUGAGUCGCCUACAGAGACCGUCACUGUGCAACCGGAUGGGACUAUACAGCACGCAGCCCAUGGAGAUCCCCAGUGUGCGCCACCACCAGAGCUGACCGCCGACGAUUGGGCUGGUCUUGACGACAUCUCGUCCUGGACUUCAUCGCUGUUGGAACAUAUCGACUUCACUCCUGCGCAGUGGAUCGACUCUCCAGCUACAUCCGUAGAGGCUACCACCAGUGCAGAGCCUGUACAACACCAUCAGCCUGCAGAUCCUGCAUCUGGACCCCUACAAGCCGUUCAAGACCCUAUCAGCGACCCCCCGUGCACCGUGAGUCCCAUCGCUCAUGAGGUAGCGGUGCCGAGGCUACCAGCCGGUCCCGCAAUUGCUGUUGAUGAACACCAUGCAGGGGUGCAAGGUGAUAAAUGGCGUAAACAAUUUGCUGAUAAACUAGCUGUGUUAACUGCGUCGGUAGAUGUAAACUCCUUAGGCAUUGCUCGUCAGCGUAAACUGGGGGUGGAGGCUGGUAAACGUGUUGACAGUAUAUAUCAGAAGCUCGAAGAACAGACGAAGAAGUCCUUCACGGCUCUCAGGGCCGAGAUUGCGCGUGAUCGUAUGACUGCUGAAUCCCCAAACACUGAGACCAGUAAUGGUCGUGCUAUCGUUGCCCUUCAGCGUAAGCAUUUGGAUGCCGUGGCAGCUGUGCGUGUCAACACGCAGGGCAUAGUGAGAAUUAACGCGCAAGAGGGGUUAAGAGCUGCUAAAACCGCUCGAAAAUUCUGGUUAAUGCAAUCUGCUAGCGAAGCCAACGUCAAUGCCUAUCGGGCAAUGAGUACCGAGAUGUCUGUGAUUAAUGAAACACUAGCAAAGCUUACGAUGAAUGCUAUUAUUUGAUUUGUGUUUUUGUUUUUAAUGUUUUUUUCUUUUAUUUCAUGGAGAGGGUAUCUUUUGUUUUAAACUGCAUGUAAUAAAACUUUUUUUCUUUUAAUACCUGACUACUUAACGUUUUUUUCUUUUUUUUUAAAUAUUAUUAUUUAUAUAUACAGGUGCUGGUCAUAUUAUUAGAAUAUCAUGAAAAAGUUGAUUUAUUUCAUUAAUUCCAUUUAGAAAGUCAAACCUGUAGAAUGUAUACAUUCAUUCCAAACAGACUGAUACAUUAUAAGUGUUUUUUGCCAAAAAGAAGAUGAUUAUAGCUGACAACCAAUGAAAACCCUAAAUUCAACAUCUCAGAAAAUUAGAAUAUGGUGAAAAGGUCAGAUAUUGAAGACACCUGGUGCCACACUCUAAUUAGCUAACUAACUCAAAACACCUGGAAAAGCCUUUAAAUGGUCUCUCGUUUUGAUUCUGUAUGACACACAAUCAUGGGGAAGACUGCUGACUUGACAACUGUCCAAAAGAUGACCAUUGAUACUUUAAAGAAGGAGGGCAAGACACAAAAGGUCAUUGCCAAAGAGGUUGGAUGUUCCCAGAGCUCUGUGUCCAAGCACAUUAAUAGAGAGGCAAAGGGAAGAAAAAGAUGUGGUAGAAAAGAGUGUACAAGCAAGAGGGAUAAACGCGCCCUGGAGAGGAUUGUCAAACAAAACCGAUUCAAAAAUGUGGGGGAGAUCCACAAAGAGUGGACUGUAGCUGGAGUCAGUGCUUCAAGAAGCACCACACACCGACGUAUGCAAGAUAUGGGCUUCAGCUGUCGCAUUCCUCGUGUAAAGCCACUCUUGAAUAAGAGACAACGUCAAAAGCGUCUCGCCUGGGCUCAAGACAAAAAGGACUGGACUGCUGCUGAGUGGUCCAAAGUUAUGUUUUCAGAUGAAAGUAAAUUUUGUAUCUCCUUUGGAAAUCAAGGUCCCAGAGUCUGGAGGAAGACAGGAGAGGCACAGAAUCCACGUUGCCUGAAGUCCAGUGUAAAAUUUCCACAGUCAGUAAUGGUCUGGGGUGCCAUGUCAUCUACUGCUGUUGGUCCACUGUGUUUCCUGAGGUCCAGGGUCAAUGCAGCAGUCUACCAGGAAGUUUUAGAACACUUUAUGCUGCCUGCCGCGGACCAACUUUAUGGAGGUGACGAUUUCAUUUUCCAACAUGACUUGGCACCUGCACACAGUGCCAAAUCUACCAGUACCUGGUUUAAGGACCAUGGUAUCCCUCUUCUUGAUUGGCCUGCAAACUCACCUGACCUUAACCCCAUAGAAAACCUAUGGGGUAUUGUGAAGCGGAAGAUGCGAGAUGCCAGACCCAACAAUGCUGAAGAGCUGAAGGCCACUAUUAAAGCAACCUGGGCUCUCAUAACGCCUGAGGAGUGCAACAGACUGGUCGACUCCAUGCCACGCCGUAUUGCUGCAGCAAUUCAGGCAAAAGGAGCUGCAACUAAGUAUUGAUUGCCAUACAUGCUGAAACUUUCCAUGUUCAUACUUUUCAGUUGGCCCACAUUUCUAAAAAAUCAUUUUUUGUACUAGUCGUAACUAAUAUUCUAAUUUUCUGAGAUACUGAAUUUGGGAUUUUCAGUAAUUGUCAGUACUAAUCAUCCAAAUUAAAAGAAAUAAACAUUUCAAAUAUAUCACUCUGUGUGUAAUGAAUUGAUAUAAUAUGUAAGUUUCACGUUCUGAAUAUAAUUACUGAAAUAAAUCAACUUUUUCAUGAUAUUCUAAUAAUUUGACCAGCACCUGUAUAUAUAUAUUUUUUUUUUCUAUCUAUUGGCAUAAAAAACUAUAGCUGUACACUAUGCAUAACGCCAUUAGCCCUAGAAAAAGGAAAUUCAAAUCUAUAGACGUAAUCCCAAGAGACGGCGUAGAU
Gadus morhua (Atlantic cod) is the source of this 3322-nucleotide long non-coding RNA. The record is from Ensembl. Lineage: Eukaryota; Metazoa; Chordata; Actinopteri; Gadiformes; Gadidae.